RNAcentral lists this ribosomal RNA (468 nucleotides) under uncultured bacterium. Its description in RNAcentral is "partial 16S ribosomal RNA". It matches the Rfam family "Bacterial small subunit ribosomal RNA", at positions 28 to 507 of the family's 1533-position model. The record is from RNAcentral.
GACGAACGCUGGCGGCGUGCUUAACACAUGCAAGUCGAACGGAAAGGCCCUGCUUUUGUGGGGUGCUCGAGUGGCGAACGGGUGAGUAACACGUGAGUAACCUGCCCUUGACUUUGGGAUAACUUCAGGAAACUGGGGCUAAUACCGGAUAGGAGCUCCUGCUGCAUGGUGGGGGUUGGAAAGUUUCGGCGGUUGGGGAUGGACUCGCGGCUUAUCGGCUUGUUGGUGGGGUAGUGGCUUACCAAGGCUUUGACGGGUAGCCGGCCUGAGAGGGUGACCGGCCAAAUUGGGACUGAGGUACGGCCCAGACUCCUAAGGGAGGCAGCAGUGGGGAAUAUUGCACAAUGGGCGGAAGCCUGAUGCAGCAACGCCGCGUGCGGGAUGACGGCCUUCGGGUUGUAAACCGCUUUCGCCUGUGACGAAGCGUGAGUGACGGGAAUGGGUAAAGAAGCACCGGCUAACUACGUG